CCCCGUCACCGAUCAGAAUGGAAACCGCCUGGGCGAGUCCACAGCUGCAGCCCAGAAGGCCAUUUUCCAGGUGGUGGUGUCCCGCAUCGGCAUGGCAGCCCCGGCCAUGGCCAUCCCCCCGGUGAUCAUGAACGCGCUGGAGAAGAGAGCUUUCCUGAAGCGGUACCCGUAUCUGAACGCUCCCCUGCAGGUCGGCCUGGUGGGACUCUGGUAAGUCACCCUCUGCCGACGGCCAUCACU
This is a long non-coding RNA of Egretta garzetta (little egret), 240 nucleotides long. RefSeq lists it as uncharacterized. Lineage: Eukaryota; Metazoa; Chordata; Aves; Pelecaniformes; Ardeidae. The transcript is spliced from 3 exons. The record is from RefSeq and is a predicted model, not a curated record.